GCGCGGUUAGCUCAGUGGUAGAGCACUACCUUGACACGGUAGGGGUCGCAGGUUCGAAACCUGCACCGCGCACCA
This 75-nucleotide transfer RNA is filed under the name Verrucomicrobiota bacterium. RNAcentral's name for it is "tRNA-Val". It matches the Rfam family "tRNA". Rfam says of the family: Transfer RNA (tRNA) molecules are approximately 80 nucleotides in length. Their secondary structure includes four short double-helical elements and three loops (D, anti-codon, and T loops). Further hydrogen bonds mediate the characteristic L-shaped molecular structure. tRNAs have two regions of fundamental functional importance: the anti-codon, which is responsible for specific mRNA codon recognition, and the 3' end, to which the tRNAs corresponding amino acid is attached (by aminoacyl-tRNA synthetases). tRNAs cope with the degeneracy of the genetic code in two manners: having more than one tRNA (with a specific anti-codon) for a particular amino acid; and 'wobble' base-pairing, i.e. permitting non-standard base-pairing at the 3rd anti-codon position. Lineage: Bacteria; Pseudomonadati; Verrucomicrobiota. The record is from RNAcentral. RNAcentral also lists the same sequence under 2 other names.